Molecule: small nuclear RNA, 107 nt
Organism: Ictidomys tridecemlineatus (thirteen-lined ground squirrel)
Lineage: Eukaryota; Metazoa; Chordata; Mammalia; Rodentia; Sciuridae
Source: Ensembl
CUGCUUAAUUCAGCAGCAUAUAUACUAAAAUUGGAGUGACACAGAGAAGACUAGCAUGGUCCCCACACACAGAUGACACAUAAAUUCGUGAAGUGUUCCCUAUUUAA